This 246-nucleotide ribosomal RNA is filed under the name uncultured Xenococcaceae cyanobacterium. Its description in RNAcentral is "partial 16S ribosomal RNA". It matches the Rfam family "Bacterial small subunit ribosomal RNA", at positions 439 to 700 of the family's 1533-position model. Lineage: Bacteria; Bacillati; Cyanobacteriota; Cyanophyceae; Pleurocapsales; Xenococcaceae. The record is from RNAcentral.
UUAAGGAAGAAGAACUGACGGUACUUAAUGAAUCAGCAUCGGCUAACUCCGUGCCAGCAGCCGCGGUAAUACGGAGGAUGCAAGCGUUAUCCGGAAUCAUUGGGCGUAAAGAGUCCGUAGGUGGUUGGGCAAGUCUGCCGUUAAAGAAUGGAGCUUAACUCCAUAAAGGCGGUGGAAACUGCUGAACUAGAGUCUAGGAGGGGUAGAGGGAAUUCCCAGUGUAGCGGUGAAAUGCGUAGAGAUUGG